RNAcentral lists this ribosomal RNA (253 nucleotides) under uncultured bacterium. RNAcentral describes it as "partial 16S ribosomal RNA". It matches the Rfam family "Bacterial small subunit ribosomal RNA", at positions 524 to 777 of the family's 1533-position model. The record is from RNAcentral.
UACAGAGGUCUCAAGCGUUGUUCGGAUUCAUUGGGCGUAAAGGGUGCGUAGGCGGCGCGGUAAGUCGGGUGUGAAAUCUCGGAGCUUAGCUCCGAAACUGCAUUCGAUACUGCCGGACUAGAGUUCGGAAGAGGCGAGUGGAAUUCCCGGUGUAGCGGUGAAAUGCGCAGAUAUCGGGAGGAACACCAAGGCGAAGGCAGCUCGCUGGGACGUUACUGACGCUGAGACGCGAAAGCGUGGGGAGCAAACAGGG